This is an RNA transcript of Engraulis encrasicolus (European anchovy), 733 nucleotides long. It is a transcript of the gene named C-type lectin domain family 4 member E-like, with no coding region annotated. The record is from RefSeq and is a predicted model, not a curated record. Lineage: Eukaryota; Metazoa; Chordata; Actinopteri; Clupeiformes; Engraulidae. The transcript has 5 exons.
AGACAUUACACAGAGGCUGCAUAAUGCUACUGCUGUGACGAGGAUUUUGGAGGCCAACUCUAUAGACCUGACACAGAGGCUGGAAUCUCUACAAGUGUCAUAUGACAACGCCACUGUUGUCAUUAGGACGUUGGAGGCCAACCUUACAGAUGUACAGGAAGAAGCUUGGGAGAAGUUUUCAGCUGGCUGGAAGUAUUUCAAAGGGAGUUACUACUACUUCUCCACUGAUGUGAUGAACUGGACUGAUAGCAGAGAUGCCUGUGUGACUAUGGGAGGACACCUGGUUAUCCUGAACAGUCAAGCAGAAAUGGAUUUCAUUAAGGACAAAGGACAGAUGUUCUGGAUUGGCCUAACUGAUAUUGAAGAAGAAGACACUUUUCACUGGGUAGACGGGACAUUCUUCAAUAAAACCACACUGCCGUGGUUGAAAAACCAACCAGACAACUGGGAAGACGAGGACUGUGUUGUGAUUUCUAGUCCAGAAAAAACGCUUAAUGAUGCUAAGUGUCAUGAGCAACGUUAUCGAAUCUGUGAAAGUUGAAGUUGUAGACCCUGAGAUGGCAGUGUCCUAAGAUGCCAUACCAUGAAUCCGGCGACCAGGGCUCGAGUAUGGCCUUAAGUAAUUUCCUUAUCCUUCCCCAUCUCGCUCACCCACUAUAUCAAUAGAGCAAUUAAUCAAUCAAUCAAUCAACCAGAAAACUGUUGUUCCAUGUUUUGCAGCGCAUAAACAAUA